CCCUAGUCUGGGAGUUUGAGAAUGGGUGAGAGAAUUUCAGUCUCCUGGUUUCUAAUCUCUGGGCUGACAAGGCUUGCAAUGUGACCUUGAGCAUAUUAUUUAAACUCUCAACAUCGAAUUCACCACUGUUUAUGCUCUCUGCAACCUCGGUGUCAUUAUACUGCAUCUUCUUGAAUCUCUCAUUUUCCUGGACAAGGGCAAUGACGACAGAUCUCAUUGGACACAGAGAAAAGGAGCAAGAUGGAGAGAAUUUUUGUCUGUGCUGUCGUUACAAUUGCCUGUGAAACAGUAAUGGAUGAUGUCUUCAUCGUGCAAUAGUGUGACUGGAAAUGUUACUCCCGGUUUGCUGACAGAUAUUUGGAAAAAAGGAAGAAAAAUGAUGAAAUGCUGCAUCGGGAAUAUCUGUAUGAUAAGGAGAUUGGAGGAUGCUUUUCUGCAUAACUUUAUCAUUCCAAUGGUCUGGAGGAUUUGGAUGAUUGAAAACCAACAAGUAAAUAAAGCCCUAUCUAUUACAUAGCCAACUGUUGAACUGGCAAUGCCCUGAAAUUGCAUCUUCUCUCCAGUCCCCAGAACGCAGUGAGGCUGGCCUUUCUGUCCUUCGUUUUCAAGAACAUUGGACACGAUGGAGAAACAAGGUGGCAAAAUACCAAAGUUUGCGUUGAUACUUCAGUGAUACAUACUACUUUCCAUCUUUCCACUCCUGCUCUGCAGAAGCUUACCCUGUGGUGACAUCAGACAGCCUCCCGGGUAUCCAGGGAGCACAGACACAGUUGGAAGGGGGUGGGGGAGUGAGAGAGGAAUCGAUGUUUUUCCUGCUGAGAGGAGGCUGUCCAGGAUGAUAGGUGGACAGAAACAAACGAAACGUUGCAGGACCCAAGGAUCAAACCCCAUCUGCAGCAUGGCUGGAGGAACGUGGCCUCAGAGCCAGGAGAAUAAAAAAUACACAACAGAAUGGGCUGUAAUCUCUUUCUCCCCCUUGGACAUCUGAAGUUAUGCUUGAAUAAUCUUUUUACUGUAGUGUGACAAGUUCACUCUGAUUCAUACCUUGUCAUGACUUAAGGCUUCUAGUGAAGCUGCAGUGACAUCUUAGGCUGUACCUGGACUGUGGUGAUGCCGUGCUCCCGACCCACCAGAACUCGGCCAUCUUGAAGCUUAGCAAUCCUGGGAUCUUCCACCUUCAUGAAAUCAGCCACAAGGUCUGUACUCUGCUUUGAAGCAAGAGAGGCUACCACUUCCAACAGCAUUCACUUCAAGCUUUUAAAGCCGUGGCUCAUGCGAGGUAGUUCAGUCACUGAAAUGGCUCCAUUCUCUCAUCAGGGCUGUUCCAUGUUGUUUUGUACUGAGGCUCUGAUAUAGAAUCAUUAAGGUUGGAAAAGACCUCUCAGAUCAUCUAGUCCAACCAUCUACCUACCACCAAUAUUGUGCACUGUGUCAGCAGAGAAAGGUAUGAAGGGAUUCUGUCUGAGCUAGGGGUCAGAUUCCGGUUACAUGGAGUUCAUAGGAGCACAGAAUAUCCCAAUAUCUUGGAGCCUUACUAGGAAAGCUCCCUGUGUGAUGGUUUUCUCUCCAUAUAUGAUACUCGUACAUAAAGUGAAAGAGCUGCGCCUCCGCUUUUUCCAUUCUCAUGUCAGCUUGUCAGAUUCUAAUCAAUAUACUGAAGCUACAAUCAUUUUUUUUGCUAAGCAAGUAAAUCAGGUUACAAGGAAAGGAGCACAGGAACCUCUGUCACUCUUGGAGAGAAUAAUCCUUCCACGUCAAUGCUGAAUAAAUACAAGAAUUAAAAAAAAUUAAAUAUGAGAAAUAAACUCUAGCUAUCUGAUAAAACAGCUUGUAAUGGAUUCCAGUCUCAGGAGUAUCACAAAUGAGAUGGAGCAUACUCAGAAUCCUUGUUUCCCCCUCAUAAUGUGUCACAAGUGUCUCUAGAAAGUUUAAGCACAUUAAUCAAGCCCAUUAAUUGAAUGAGCAGUUGAGAUUCUAAAUCAUAAAGCCUAUAUCUAGGGAGUUUUCUGAGAAUUAAAACAAGACAGAAAUAAUUAAGAAAACCCAAAGAGGGAGGGAUAAACAUCAAGGUCUGAUCAAGGGAAUAACUAACACCUGACAAGACAGUAGGCUAAUAUUUUAGAUUACUCUUCGUACUGGCUUAAAAGCUCCUUGGAUUUCCUUGGAUUUUCGUCAGCAGGCAAGGUGCCGAAUUGGGGAACAGAAGGACGGAUUUCAGUUGUAGCUGUAAAAAUAUCAUCAGGCUUGGCUUACAAAUGUCACAGAUUACGUCUAGCCAGAGCCAUCCAUUCACAUACAUACUGACCAAGAGGAAAGUAUAAAUCGGUAUGUGUCACUGUGCUGUAGUACACCUGAUGCCCUCGUACAGACUUUCGAGCUCAUGUCUCACUUCAGUGUAAUUUCUAGAAAAUAAUCUAGUCUUGGUAAGGCAAGUUGAAGAGAGAUCUGGUUGUUUCAGUUCCCUAUCUGGAGUUCGUGUUUCUAUGUGGCUCAGCCACAACCUGACCUAGGAAUUUAGAAGAAAAUUAUGUUUGAUUGUGCAGGUAAGGGUAGAAACCACAGCAGUUGUUGAAUCCAGGUGUUAGCCCAUGAUGCUGUGCAUGAAACCACAGCCACUGUUAAUCCAGGCAAAGCUUGCUCUGGCUCCUUGCACAAAGAAUUAAUUUUGUCCAGAUCUGAGACAAGAGCUGCAAUGUGACGCUCACAGCAGCCUGGCACUCCUCAGAAGUGAAGAGGGAAUGAGAAAUGCGUUGAGCUUUGGGGACUCGGUGCAAGCCCUGUUCUCUGACCUCUGGGAGGCCAAGGGCUAAAGCAAAGGUCUCUCUUGGCUUCCUCCCCUGCAAGCCUGGUGCUGCUGGACGAGAGUGUGUCUCUGCUGCUGGGGCUGGGGCAGUCCCACAGGCAGUGGCCACACAGGCUGCUGCUGAGCUGCUGCUUCUGAAAGAACCAAGUGGGAAAGGCCUGGUCUUCUGCAAACACUACACAGUGAGAAGAAGGCACGGCUAGAAGUCGAAGCUGCUCUCUUCUAAUCUAAAAUGCGCAGAGCCUUUGCAAAACAGCCUGUCACUACCCACUGUCAGCUGCCAGACAAAAUCAGCAAAGUUAUGUGCAGCAGUUUGCACCGGGCGGCAGGACGGCUGGCUAUGUGCUCCGUGUGCAGGUCAGGAGACAGAGGGCUGCAAUUAACCUCUCCAGGCUUUGAAGCAGGUGGUUGGCUCCCAUCCCCACAAGUAAUUGUCAGAAGCACUGUUUGCCCUGCACUGCCUGUCACAGCCGCCUCGUUUGGGCCUCAUCAAGCGCUGGCAAUCCAAAGAGUAAUUGGGAAAGCGUUCUGUGUUUGGGUCAGCGCAGGUUUAUGCACUCUUUGGGGGAACAGGUGAAACAGAGGGGAUGGGAACUGACAGGAAAACAAACAGGCUUGCUGCAUGGUUAAUUUUUACAGCUUUCCAUCAAGGUUUUGGUCAAAAUCUUGCACGUCAUCCUCAGCUUGCAGGUCAUUCCAUAAGGACACCGAGUGAGACAGAUGUAACAGGCAGAUGUACCAAUUUUGUGAUAUUCCUUGGAUGCCUUCUUUUCCACCUUUUCUGCUAUGUUGUUCCUGGCGUUGUCGUGUUAGCCCAUUAGAAGGGACUUGCUGUGCUACUCGUAGCCCUUAUGUUGUGUGAUCUUUUUCUUCUGUCACUUCCAUUUUUUCACAUGCCCUCAGGAACGCCUCUCUUUCUUUUUCUGGUUUGCAUUAUUUUGUACUUUAUGAUUGUUACAUAUUUGCUUUAGAAGCUGGGCUGAAAUCGCUUCCUCAGCCUGAGGAACUCUGCUUCUUCUAUGAGAAACAAGCACAAGGGCAAUGGUCUGCUGUCCUCCUCUGUCGGUAUUUCUCUCUGCAGUUAAUUCUGGAAAUAGUUGUGCUUCACUGUGCCCCAGCUCACGAUGUGUAGUGGGGUCUACAGAUACCAUCUCCAAGCAAUUGGAGGCAAACGAUUGGGCCCAUUCCGAAGACUGCUGAUGGCACUGGUACAAAAUACAAACCGUAAUUUAUGCUCUGGUCUGAAGUGUAACGAUGGGGAGCUGGAAGCUAGAAUGAAAGGAAGAUCCUUUGCCCAGGGAAGCAAAGAUUUGGAAAUCUGCAUAACAAAUUGAAGUGCUGCAUGCGCAACAGACCGCAAAAACGUGAUGAUGUCACUGUUUACUGAUGAAGACAGGCAGGAGGAGGAAGAUGGGACUAGGGAAGCUUCUGAUGAUGUCAGUGCCUAUUUGAAGUUUUAGAGUGCUUUUACCUUUUAACCCCCAUUGAAAUCCACUGAACUAGAGGGAAGGACAGCAUGGAAGACAUUAACAUUUUGGUUUAACAAUAGAGACAAUUGCUGUGGCUUAGAAAAGGUGCAAUGAUCCAUAAAUGUACAAUGAGAAUUUAAAAACCUGCUGUACUGAAUUAAGUGUGCACUAUUCAAAAACUGUUGAUCUAUGCAAAAUUAUUAAACAACACGUGAGAUCUGCCAAGAUUUCAGUCCCAGGUGCAGAGCAGCUGCUCUCAUUCACUUUCCAGCAGGCCAUGCAGGGGCGUUCCUGCUGGAGAUGAUAAGUUUGUUGGGUGCACAGGUUGAAAGAGGAGGACUAGAGAAGGUGGAUGUGCUUUCAGGCUCCAGCUUGCUACUUGGCCUGACAUAAUUCAGGCUUAGUAAUAACUGCUGUGCAUUCACAGUGGCUACGCAGCUGCAGGGAUGGGCAGACACUCUGGCAUUUCAUUCUCACUGAUUUUGUGGAGUGAAUGCUGGAAGUGGUCAGGGGCAGCUAAUAGCAGUACAUGGUUCCUGCCAAGUUGUUUUCUGCUCCAUGUGCAAAGACCCUUUACUAAUCAGCUGAGCUUUUAUAUGUGUUUUUUUCUACAAAAAUCUGAGGAAUUCUCUCAGAAUUAAAUUUGUUUCUGCUCUCCCCAGUGAUCUAGCACACCUUGUACAGAUUACAGAAAAGAGAUCACCUUCAUUAGGUCAUUAGAUUAAGAUGGCAUCUUUGGAACGUCUUUGCUCGCAGUACCUGGAAUAGUGCUUGGUCCACCAGGGUCGUCAGCUCCCCAGCACGUGAAGAAACGACGCUUGAUACCUUUGUCCAUUUGCUAUGGAAGUUGUACCAGUCCCAUGCUUGCUCCCUGAGUUUCUAUUGCUUAGGCAGUCUGGUACACAAGUCCACUUGGCUUCUGCUCGUCUUGUCACCUGAAGCAGAGCUGCUCCUGGGCUAACAGCCUUCCCAGCCAGCCAUGCUUAUCUCUAGACAGACAUCUUCAUUCUUUGCACUGAGAUAAAGGAUCUCUAACCAGCACAAAUUCUAAGCACAUACUUGUAUGAGGUGUCUUUAGCUUAAGUAUUUGAUCCUUAAACGUCUGCAGAUUAAGCAUUACUAACACUUGGUAGUUUAAGUAAACAUCCAUGUGCUUCAUAUUCAUCAGCUGGUGUCCCAGGAGGGAUUAAGGGUUGUUUACCCGGUGAAACCCCAGCAAUAUGGUGCCAGCUCUUUCUUGCACCAGUUCUAAUUUCAGACUCUGAACCUGUUCUGUAGAAACUGUUCACUGGGUGAAACUAACAAACACAUAUGGUUGAACUGUGAACUGCUUUUUUCCUCAGUGGUUUUUCUUUUUCUUUUUUUUUCUUCACUUGAAUUACACAAAUGGGGUUAUAGGCUGACAGAGUAACUUACACAUUGUUGGGAAGAGUAAGAGGGGAGAAUAUUUAGGCAGAUGUAGCAUACUCCAGUUCCACUGAAGUUCUUUGUAAAAUAAUGGGCUUAAGAAGUAAUCUUCUGUGUACUAAGUAAACUUAUUGUUCAGAUUCAUGGCUCUAAUCCCUGUGACUGAAAUUUAAGAUCUAAGGCCCCAUGAAAUUAAAAGAAAAAGAAACAAUUACAUGCGUAUUCAUUCAAUUUCAUGUGUUGCAUAUCCUUCAAUUUUCCCAAUGAAAUUUCAAGAGGGAAAAUAGAGGUUUCUAAAGAACGUGUUAUUAAAAAAAAACAACCUGCAGGUCAGCUGUAAUUGCUGAAGCUUACCAAUUCUCCAGUGCCAGCUGCUUUCUUCUCACUGCUGGCAAAAGCAGGUCACCUCCACAUUUCCCCAUCUCCCACAAGUACUUCAUAGGUGCUACAACACAGCAUGCAGAAAGCUGGGGGACACUGAGUGCAGGAUGUGGGCAGGCAGCCCUCCUGCUGCACGGGGGCACGGUGCAGGAACAGAAGGACUACACAGCAGGGCUGGGAGUGCAAGCCACGUCCUUGUGCUGCUCCUGGACUACGCCGCAGGGAAAAGGAGCCCAUACACUGCUUCUGCCUCUGAAGGACACCUGCACCCUUUCCCGUGGAAUGGGACUUGAAUAUAUGGCAACUACAACAGCACCGCCAAGCCACAAGCCCAUCAGACAAAAAGAGUAAGUAACAAAGCUUGCGGGCUGAAUGUAGUAUUUAGAGCGAUGUGUUCCGUCAUGAAUGUUAGCCACACCAGUACAGCCUUUAAUCUUGUACCGGUCAUGACAGGAUACACCAUUUUUAGCCCAAAGAAUCUCUUGAAAACAAGGAAGAAAAAAAAUCCAGAAGGAGGUUUUAAAUACACAGCAGUACACUUCUAUUGUGCAAAGGAAGCUUUGGUCCUAUGCCUAGAUUUUAGUGCAUCUACAUUCAUAAGUCUUGCCCGCUAGCUUUUAGUUUCUGAGCAACAAAUAAUUCAUUAAUUAGGAAAAAUAAGGAAAAGGGGGCAUUUAGACAGCAAACACAGCCAACAAAAACAGCCCUUAAACUGCUUUCACUUGUCCAAGUGCUUCAAUAUAAUUGUCUGGAGAGAAUGCCAAGAGCUAAGAAAUUGUCUUCCUUCUCUGGUCUUACAGGUAUGUAUAUUUACCCUCUUACCAGUCUGCUUUAUACAUUUAAUCCAGGUUGAUGCACAAAUUCAGCAUUAAGACUUCCCUAUGCAGUAAGUGGAAAAAGCCAAGGGACAUAGCUGGAUGUAGUUCAGAGAACCAGGUUUAGAGCUAUACAUACAAAGAUGGUGCAAGUUCCUCACACAAACGAAUGCCCAAACAACUUCUAGAGACUGCUAGAUCACACUUCCCAUGGUAUUCCAACAAUACAACACCCACCCUGGGUGUCCCAGUUCCUGUGCUGGUGUGGCUGUGUGACACACGCUGCUUUGCAGGGAGAGCUCUCGGACAAUCACUGAAGGAAACAGAGCGAGGUCCUUCAGGGUGAAUGCACUAGAAAGAACAGCAUCUCGGUGUAUCAAAAAUGCAGCUAGGUUUCCAUUCAAUGCACAGUCUCGGGGCUCUUGAAAUUGUCAGGAGGUGACUGAGUGACAUAGCAGAUUUUUUCAAAGAGAAUAUUUCAUCUCUCUUUAAUGUCAGAAUGACACAACUGUGAGACUGAGCUUAACUCCUUAAUGCAAAGUGCUGGAUUUGCUUGAUUGGGUAUAUAAACAAGACUCUAAGACUGUGCUAAAGAUGGCAUGGUUCAGUCGUGACACAGCCUUAAAUUAGAAACUUCAAUUCUGCAUAAAAAUCCAAAGGAAUUACUACACCAUACAUACAUAAGCUGCACCUCAGUCAGCUGAAGUCUCUUGAAAAGAGAUCCUUAUGUAACCCGCUGCCUUAUAGCCCUGCAAUCCCUCCCACUCCUGGCUGAGGUUCCUUGCCAGAGCAGGAGAAGCCCAAGUCAGGAACAAGGGGAGCUCACGGGCAGAGGGAUCAGAGGAACCAAGCCAGAAGGGGCCUCAGGGCACAGCUCACCUCUUGUCACCCACCCAGGGACAGCGGUUGCAAUGCUUCUGAGUCACAGAGGGGUUACACACAGCUCAUGAGUUACAAGCGUGACAAUCUGAUCACAGCAGCAGCUGCUUUUGUGUUCUCCAGCUGCAGCAGCAGAGGAGAGAAUUGUCCCUCCGGUGCAGGGAGUGGAACAGGACAAAUCCUGCAGGGCUUAAAACCAGGAGCAGCCCUGUUUGGGGAGAACACUCAGGUGAAGCGUGCUUUGUUGCUGCCUGUUGUUUGACUUCCACUGCAUCAAUAAAUCCGUGCUCCAACGAGGGUGAAGGCAGCACAUCUCAGCUACAUUGUGCAGAGCAGAGAAACAGCAUGCCCGGUGCAGACUGCUGUCAUACCAAUGUUUGUCCACUGCUCUGAUAGGAAAAGAAUCUGUUGUACCAAAGAUGGAAAGGUAUUUUAAUUUACAUGCUCUAACUAAAGUGUCUGCAGGACUAAGGAGGGUCACUGCAAUCUCCCACUAACUCCACAUAUUGUUUGGUCUUUCACGAGCGUGCUGGAGCUUUUGAACUUCAGGUAUCUUCCAAGGGCAAGGGAUAGAGCUAAGGGGCAUGUCCUAACCAAGGAUGGCAUCUCCCCUACACAUCACUACCCAAACAUGCAGUUCAACCUCACGUGGCACAUAUGUGCCCACAAAUCAUCCAGUGGUGGUCUGCUUAUCAUCUCAAUGCAUUUCAUAAAGAAAAUUAACUGUCACAAUCCUUUCUUACCAGUAAGGGAACACAGCUUAUUAAAACCACCAACCAGAAAAGGAAGUCUGGGGACAGCUGUGGUGCUGGCCCAGAGGAGGAUUGGGGCAGGUAGCCCUGCACUGAGCAGCCCGGAAUUAGACCAGGCAGCGACAGCAUUAAGACUGUACAAGGGGCUGCAGACCUAAGGACUACCAGGAUCUGCAAAAUGCGUAACAGGACAUGGAGUUUUCUCUUUGGAGGAGAAUUUUAAAAACUUGCUCAUGACGGUGAGAACAAACGUCAAAGCGCCUACAUUUUGGAUGACACGAAAUCUACCCUUCUUCCACAGAGCUCUUCAGGAACAAUGAUGUACCAAAAUCGAUAGUUUGCUAUUGACUUUGAUUUAAAGGCAGAGAUUGAAUUGUCAGGAGAGUCAGUGUUGAGCUACCUGACUCCUCCCUUGCUCUAAGCCCAUAUGAUCUGGAUGGACUGAACUUCUUUCUCACCGAACUAAGACCCUGUUAAAAUCCAGCUACGAACGAAUGUUUUUCCUGUCAAUCUUUCUGCCAUCUACGGCUGUUGUGCCUUCAUGAACUCUAUCUAAAUGCCAAGAUAGAUCUGCAAAGCUCUCGAGCUCCCCUGUCAAAUCUGGGCCAAAACAACCAUUCCAACUCAUGCAUGAAAGAUAAAUGACAAACCACAGAGUAUUGCCGUUAGUUUUCUGUUGUACUUUUGGAUUUUUUUUCCCUUUUGGGUUGUUUUUUAGCAUCUCCCCCUAGGGCUGUGUAGAUACAGAAAAACAGGCUGCAGUCAAAGAAUGUAAAAGCACAAGAACAUGAAAAAAAGUUUUUUCUUUUCUUUAGAAAAAGUUCUGCACGUAGUAGAAAUGAAGGCAUAAAGAGCUGGAAAAUAAAAUAAAUAAAUAAAAAUGUUUAAAAAAGAAAAAAGAAUGAUACUUCCAGAUUAUGCCUGAAUGGAGCUAUGUAAAAAAUCCCAAGAAAGAGGCAGGGAAAGUCUGGGUUAAGAAACCCUCGAACAAGAGAGACAGAAAAAGCAAAAUGGAAAUACAUCAGCCAGGCAAUCCAAAUGCACAGCAGGUUUUCAGCUCUGGCAAAUACACCUGAUCAAGCUGCACAUUUGUUAGCCUGGGCUGUGGUAAAAAUGUAUUACAUUUGUCCAUGUCUUACAUGUAUCACUGACUCAGAUCUGUUAGCCCGAGCUGAACUGUUUGCAUUGGCUGCUACCAAAAGUAGUUAAAGUUAGCAUCGAUUUUGUGCAAACAUUAGUCACACUGACAGUCCAAAACAGGCUUACUCAGAGGGAUAUCAUGGCUCUACCAGAUGAACGACCACAGAGGAGCAAUCUGAUGCAAAGUAUUCCAUACACAAACACAAACUACUUUCCCAUGAAAUCCUAGGUCGUUAUCUUCCUCUCCUCUCCUAGCUUGCUACAGCUACCAAAAAAGAACAAGUUACAAAUUAAUGUGAAAUACUGAUUUCAUUUUUCUACUUAAUGCAUAAUUUUUCUUUUGUGCUAUUGUUCUCUGAAGACACUUCCUUCCCCGCUUGCAUUAAACAGAGAGACAAAAUUAAAUAGCAACAAAGAACCCAGUGCUAUGGCUGUCACAUUUCUGCCUAAACAGAACACAAAUCUGUGCAACUAAUACUGUGUCCCUGGCAUGCCCUACCCGAGGUAACCGGAGCUAUCCUGUAGUUUUAUAGUUAUGAACAAGGCACUGAAGGCUUUCUAAAUUAUUUUGCUCUUAAUUGUCUUUAAGAAGCUCAUGUUCUCUUCAAAACCGCUACUCUACUCCAAACUUUCAAGGAGGGAGAGUGCAUGAGUUUGAAGGAAAUCAUUCCUGCCUGCCACUAAGCUCACCUUGAUAGCAGGGCAUCCUCCUGCAGCAGGCAUCUCUGAAGUCAUCUUGUAGCUACCGAAGCUAUUAGAUUCUGUUUACUGCAAUAACUCUAUUAAAGCCUCAUGUUUUAUGCAGGUCAGAGAUGUAGUCCUAUCGAUUCAGCGUGAAAGAGCACUUUUUCUGUGGUAGUGAGAUGUUUGCUUUUCUACACUUUGCAGCCUUCCUUGUUACCUGACAUGGACCGUGUCUGCAGCAGGUCACCGGAUUUUAGUGAACUCAUGUUCAGUGCAGGGUGUUUGCGCUUAUUGACUCGGCAUUAAGGGCCGUUCUCAUGCAGGCGGAUGCUGCCUCCUCAAUCUAUAGUCCAUGCCGCUUCCAUCUGUGUGCCCAGCUUCCAGAGGGUUAUUCAGCAAAGAUUUUACUCAGACGGGAACAACUGAAACACGUUCGUGGUUCGUGUGGGCGCGAAGGGGCACGCUGACAAGCAAAUGUCCCUGCGCCCCACAGCUUACAUGUCACGCACUUUAUGGCACUGAAAGGUGCUGACCAAGUGUUCGCAAGCCAAAACCAGAACAAAACACCAGUUUUGUGGUCAGUGGGCAACAGCUGGGCAGCACCAGUGGGCAUCCCCUCUGCCUUCCAGAGAGCACAUACACAGCAGCUGCAGCACAGGUUCAGCACAGGGCACCAAUGUCCCACCCUGAGCCGGGGGGGGGCUGGAUGGGGUGAGCUGCUCUGCCUCUAUCUCUGCUUUUCAGGAUGCGUUGUAUUUCUCUCCCUUCGUUUUCUUUUUGUCUUUCAGACACAUCCUCUCUAUCUUUAUUUAGAACCACCUUCAUUUUCAGGUAGCUCAGGCUUUUUUCUGCUGCAGCUCUUUCUGAACUCCCAGUGACAGAGAAACAAUUAUCUGAAACACGUGCAAUGGCAGACACCUUUCCAACUCUUCCAGUCUUGCUAAAUAGGAUCCCUUCCCAUCCUGACCCCGCAGACACUCACACAACGCCAGCAGCCUUCUCUAAAGAGUCGCAAUCCUGUACAAAACCAUCUGUGUCUCCCUCAAAUGGGAUGGAGCUGGAGGCAUUUUCUUACCAGAAUUAAGGAGAUCAGAGUUGGCAAUAAUACAUUUUUCCUCAGCAAAAAUUAGUUACAGAAGAUGAAAAUAUCAAUAAUAACAUAAGGCGAUUAAACAAGCCACAUUGUCAAGUUUGCAAAGAACAGAAGGUCCCAGCAAAUGGCUGUCUACUAGACUUUAGACAACCAUACUCACCAACAGCACUGUAAAAAACAAACAAGCUGUAACCUAAAUAGUUAGAGGCACAUGGCAUUGCAGAGAAUAGUGGGAAGGAUGCAUAGGUUGUGGGCAUUGGCUUUGUUCUACAAAGUGCACACAGGAGAAGCCUCCCAGCAUCUCCACAGUAAGGCUGCUGGCUGGAUCUGCCCAGUCUCAGGGUUAAUGCAGUCAUUUAGGACUGGGCUGUACCUGCGUUGUUACCUCCCCAGGCUUUGUUACAUAAGAAGACAAAGAGGCAUUCCCCGGACCUCUCCAGGAGCAGGCGAACCCAGGAGCUGUCCCAGGACAGGCUGCAAGGAGAUGCACAGCACUGGGCACCUGCUGCAAGGAAAACACAGCCGCUGUGCCCCCCCAUCCUUUAUUUGCUUCUGUGUUACUUUGCCCUUGCCUGUGGCGCUCUGGUCCUCAUCACCACUUAGUAAUUUUGCAAAUGUAGCCUUGGCGUUGAUCACGUACAAAACGCGCUUUAAAACACAACAGUAAGCAAUGUAGCCCAAGGAAGGAUUGUCUCGUUUUACACUGAUAAUCUUCCACGCUAAACUCGCUACAGGUUGGGGAAAUCCAGCCUACAGCGUCUGCAAGGCAGGAGCUACUCAAGUCUCCAAGUUUUCCAGUAUUGGUGUAUUGAAAUCUUUGAUUUGUGGGGUGGCAGAAAAAGACACGGAGAGAACAUCUCCCCUGGCAACGUGUACUCCUGAAAGGCCUUUUCAAAGCAUUCCAGCAGUCAGAAACCCUUGAGCACGCUGCAUUCCCAGCUCCUCUGCCCUUCCUGCCUCCCCACCCUCAGUACUGGAAUCAUACCUUUCUUUGUGCUCCAUAUUACACCAUUGCUGGAAAGAAACUAUUUCACAUGAUCUUCACACAUUCGGCUGGGGGAGACCACGCAAUAGGGUUAUUUUCUUCCACACAGCACUGUCGGGAUUCUAUGUUUCUUUGCAGCCUAGUGCCAUCAGUUGGCCAUACAGCAUUCAUGUCUGGGGGGAAAAAAUCACUGUAUUCUGAAAUGCUGAUUGCAUCAAAUGGCAACUAGAUUGGAGGACAGUAAUCACGCUGGGCUCAGGCGAUUAAAAACUCGCUUGGAAAAUUGGUGCUUGCUGAGCCUCUAUAGAAAGAAAUGAAUUAAGAAGGAAAACAAUAAGGAAGGGUAUGCAUUAAUUUUGCUCUGCAGCGGAUAAUGGUGAGUGUAAGAGAUCUAAGGAAGGACUGCGUGUCUUAAGGAUUUUCUC
Molecule: long non-coding RNA, 12833 nt
Organism: Numida meleagris (helmeted guineafowl)
Lineage: Eukaryota; Metazoa; Chordata; Aves; Galliformes; Numididae
Exons: 13
Source: RefSeq, a predicted model, not a curated record